Long non-coding RNA from Oncorhynchus keta (chum salmon), 231 nucleotides. RefSeq lists it as uncharacterized. Lineage: Eukaryota; Metazoa; Chordata; Actinopteri; Salmoniformes; Salmonidae. The transcript is spliced from 3 exons. The record is from RefSeq and is a predicted model, not a curated record.
AUUGGACUAGAUCCAUGUUGAGGUGAGUCACGUCUGAUUGGACUAGAUCCAUGUUGAGGUGAGACACGUCUGAUUGGACUAGAUCCAUGUUGAGGUGAGACACGUCUGAUUGGACUAGAUCCAUGUUGAGGUGAGACACGUCUGAUUGGACUAGAUCCAUGUUGAGGUGAGACACGUCUGAUUGGACUAGAUCCAUGUUGAGGUGAGACACGUCUGAUUGGACUAGAUCCA